GGUUGACGUGACGCUCAAUUUUUGUGUCCACAGUGACAAAAUAACUAAAAUUUUAUAAUAUUUAAUUAAAAUUCAUGUUUUUUAUAUGCAUUUCAUUCUUCUACAUCUAAUCCAUCUGCAAACAAUGAGUAUUGUUCUUCAACUAUGCAAAUAUUCUGCUUUGAACAUGCCAUUUGUCCACCGGUGCAACUGUCCACGGUAGAAUUACUUAUCUUAAAACGUCUGUAAUUUAAUGAGAAAUUAAUCUAAAUACAUUAAAAUACUUGAAUGCAUGUCAUACGAGUGUUUACUUAAUGAAUCUAGAGGUUAUAAGUGUUAAGGUCCCUAUGUAGAGUUAUUAUGACACAUUACAUUUUGUCCACAAAACUGGUGUCCUCCUGGAGCAACGGCAUUAUGUAGAUAUAAAACAGACAUUAAUGUGACCACCCCAUUACUGAGAGGGGUCCUUCCACAACCAGGAAGUACAGAAGACAUCACUGGAGCACAUGGACUGUACACAAGAUAUCAGCAGAAGAAAGCAUGCGGGAAAAUCGUUCAGCAAAGCGUGAAGUCUGUGUCGCCAGCAACACAGAAGAAGCUACAAGAGAAAUGGAGAGAGUCAAAGCGGAGAUGUAGGGCAAGGGAAAAAGCCACUAAUGCUGUCCUUGAUCUUACGCCACAAUCACCUCAGGAUCAUGACCAGCCAUUUGAAGAGAUCAAUGACCCCCCAGUGGCAAGGCCAGUUAUCAAUGGAGCCUCAGUGGCAAGGCCGGUUCUGCAUGAAGUGAUCAAUGCUGUCCCAGUACCAGUACCGGUACACGUUUUGUGUAGCACACCAGAGAAGUCCCCCCGAAACCAAAAUCCACCCAAAAAAAGAAGAAAAACUAAAAUGACCAAAGAACUACGGAAACUACAAAAACAAAAUGAGAAAUUAAUGAAGGAACUUGAGGCUGAAAGAAGAAGAGUAAAUACAUUUAGGCGAAAGAAUCAACGCCUCGUGCAAAGACGGAAUAUGGAUAAACGUGCUAACAAAAAAACACAAACAAAGCGAGGAAACACUGGAAUUCAAUUAAAAAUAUAUAUUUUACCUGUGUUUUGACUGAAUUUAAAAUAAUAAAUUUGACUGUACACAA
Long non-coding RNA from Eleginops maclovinus (Patagonian blennie), 1112 nucleotides. RefSeq lists it as uncharacterized. NCBI's taxonomy places the organism in Eukaryota, Metazoa, Chordata, Actinopteri, Perciformes, Eleginopidae. The record is from RefSeq and is a predicted model, not a curated record. The transcript has 2 exons.